This 810-nucleotide ribosomal RNA is filed under the name Triticum aestivum (bread wheat). RNAcentral describes it as "partial small subunit ribosomal RNA". Lineage: Eukaryota; Viridiplantae; Streptophyta; Magnoliopsida; Poales; Poaceae. The record is from RNAcentral.
AUGGUGAAGAACUUCCGCAAGCGAAGCCUCGAGUCGGACGCCGCCGACAACUCCGACGACGAGGACACCCGCCGCGUUGCUCUGGAGGAGAUCAGGUACAUGCAGAAGCUCCGGGAGAGGAAGCUGCCGGCGGCGUCCGUAGCCACCGGCGCCGCCGCCUCCGCCACCACCGACGGGUCCACCGCUCGGGGCCGAGGUGGAAGCGGGGCAGGGGCAGCGGGCGAGGAGGACCUCGUGCUUCAGGACACCUUUGCGCAGGAGACCGCUGUUACCAUCGAAGACCCCAAUAUGUUGAGGUAUGUGGAGAACGAGCUGUUGAAGAAGAGGGGCAAGACGAUCGAGGUCAACGACAAGGACGAUAAGGACGAGGUGGAUGAGCUCUAUGUUGUGCCGGACCACCUGAAGGCGAGGAAGAAGAACAUGGAGGAGAGCUCAACCCAGUGGACCACCGGCAUCGCUGAAGUUCAGCUGCCCAUCGAGUAUAAAUUGAGAAAUAUUGAAGAAACCGAGGCAGCCAAAAAAUUGCUGCAGGAGAGAAGGCUUGCUGGUAAAACAAAAUCAGAUGCAAACAUUCCAUCAAGUUACAGUGCUGAUUAUUUCCAUCGUGGGAGAGAUUAUGCUGAAAAAUUGCGAAGAGAACAUCCUGAGUUGUACAAAGGUCAAGAUUCACAAGCUAAUGAAAAUGGAGGCAAACCAACAGAUGGUAACAAUCCAGGUGGUCCACCUGCAGGACGUAGAGAAGCUGCUACCGAUGAAUUGUUGCUCGAGCGUUUCCGCAAGCGAGAAAAAUUCCGUGUCAUGCGGAGAUAG